Molecule: small nucleolar RNA, 229 nt
Filed under: Scheffersomyces stipitis CBS 6054
Lineage: Eukaryota; Fungi; Ascomycota; Pichiomycetes; Serinales; Debaryomycetaceae
Description: Small nucleolar RNA snR35
Rfam family: Small nucleolar RNA snR35
Source: Rfam by way of RNAcentral
AUACUUUUCUUCUUCGUGCGGCAGCCAGAACUAUUACCGUGUUGCUUGUCUUUUUCAGUUAUCCCAACGAGUUGGCGAGCGUCAAGUUCCUGGCGAGAAUAUCAUCCGUUUUCUAUAUGGAGGCGGAGUAGCGAUCAUCUUAGCGCCCUUUCAUCAGCAUCUAAUCGGACGGUGUGGAUUUGUCCAUAUUUUCCAUGGGAGCUGGUGAGGGCUGGUAGAUCAGACAUUC